AGUCUUUGCAUCUGUGCCAGACCCACCACACUUAGCAGAUGUAGCAGCAACUGCCAAAGGAUAAAGCAAGGAUCCAGGCCUGGGCUGGAAAUCUCACCUGUGGCUGGGAUCUAGAAGGAAAAGAUUCAGUACCUUUGAAAGGGUCACUAAAACCCAGACGACGGCUUCGGUUGCACAUAUAAAGUGCAGUCAGGUAGUAACUACGGGUGGAUUACUUUAGGAAGUAGGUGUUCCUCCAGCCUCCAUCCAGAGGAUAAUUGAAAUGCAAGUCAAGCUCUUAUCCACAGGCAACACCAAGGGAGGGGAUCCCCCCCGCCACCGCCCCAGUCACACCAUUUCAAUGUCUUACCGGUGGGUAGGAUUAAGAAAGUUAACCUAAGGGAUGCCUGUGUCUUUCAUGGGACCACUUACCCAGCACCGGGAGAGGUGAGUUCACUGCACUGCUCCCCUUUUGCAAUGGUUAUAGUUUGCUCUCUAACAAUUUCAAUAUGGCAUUUCCAAAAAAGUUUGAAAAUACCACUCAACAUAGUCUUAUCACUCUUCUCUUUUAAAACUUUUUUCCUUU
This 565-nucleotide long non-coding RNA is filed under the name Sus scrofa (pig). RNAcentral describes it as "lncRNA (ENSSSCG00025023510.1)". Lineage: Eukaryota; Metazoa; Chordata; Mammalia; Artiodactyla; Suidae. The record is from RNAcentral.